Molecule: long non-coding RNA, 380 nt
Organism: Eutrema salsugineum
Lineage: Eukaryota; Viridiplantae; Streptophyta; Magnoliopsida; Brassicales; Brassicaceae
Exons: 3
Source: RefSeq, a predicted model, not a curated record
CUUUUCUCUCUUGAGUCUUGACGUGAACGACUAGAUAGAAUUCGCAGACAAGAUUUGAUUUCAAACCUUAAGGAUAAAUCGUGAUCGUGGAGGAAUUAUUCUGAGAAGAAUGUUGUGAAUUCGUUUGAAAAUUAAUGAGUGACCCUUUAUCGGUGAAGGUGAAUCAAACCAUAAAACUGUAACAAUGGCGUAAAAAGGGCGUGAAAAGUUCAUCAUGGCGAUGAAGACUGUUUGGAUCACAGUGGUGUGUUUAUUUGUUAUUUCACAGGCAGAUCAAGGUUUCGAUGUUCGUCAUCACUUAUCCACUGUCACCAGAUACUCUGUUUCGAAAGAUGUUGCCCAAAAUUUGAUUGAGCCAUCGAAUUUCUCCAGUGAGUUUA